Molecule: ribosomal RNA, 465 nt
Filed under: uncultured bacterium
Lineage: Bacteria
Description: partial 16S ribosomal RNA
Rfam family: Bacterial small subunit ribosomal RNA
Source: RNAcentral
GAUGAACGCUGGCGGCGUGCUUAACACAUGCAAGUCGAACGGAAAGGCUCCUGCUUGCAGGGGUACUCGAGUGGCGAACGGGUGAGUAACACGUGGGUGAUCUGCCCUGCACUUCGGGAUAAGCCUGGGAAACUGGGUCUAAUACCGGAUAGGACCACAUUUUGGAUGGUGUGGUGGAAAGUUUUUCGGUGUGGGAUGAGCUCGCGGCCUAUCGGCUUGUUGGUGGGGUAAUGGCCUACCAAGGCGUCGACGGGUAGCCGGCCUGAGAGGGUGGACGGCCACAUUGGGACUGAGAUACGGCCCAGAGUCCUACGGGAGGCAGCAGUGGGGAAUAUUGCACAAUGGGCGCAAGCCUGAUGCAGCGACGCCGCGUGGGGGAUGACGGCCUUCGGGUUGUAAACUCCUUUCGCUAGGGACGAAGCGCAAGUGACGGUACCUGGAGAAGAAGCACCGGCUAACUACGUG